Molecule: unclassified non-coding RNA, 690 nt
Filed under: Hevea brasiliensis (rubber tree)
Lineage: Eukaryota; Viridiplantae; Streptophyta; Magnoliopsida; Malpighiales; Euphorbiaceae
Source: RNAcentral
AUUUGAUAUACACAUGUAAUUAAAAAUGAAAUAAAAAUCUAAAACAAUUAGCCUCAAAACACCUGAAUGUAUACAUGAUGACAAAGUGAAACUCACAAGCCCAACAGGAGAAGAAGAACAAACUUGGAAGCAAGUCCUGCAAGGAAUAUUGAAUUUGCUAUAAACCUACAAACAUGCAUGACCAAUGCAUUUUCUGUACUCUUCUUUUGUUCUUAAUUCUUUAUUUUUAUAAAAAAAAUAUUUUUCAAACUCUUUUUGUUCAUGUCAAUGUUUCUUCUAAUCGUGGAAGUUUUAACCUCUUCACGCUUAAGUAUAGUGCCUAAUAACAUAGCAUAAUCAUCGUAAUUGACAUUUUGGAUUAUUCUAAUUUCAUGAAUUGCGGCUUUGAUAAGUAAAAUUUCUUUUUUUUUUAAUAAAUUUAUUUUAUUAAAAAUCAGGAAUUGAUCCUUAUAAAACCCCUUUUACCAACCUAUGAGGCUAUGAUACAUAGUAUUCAUCAUCUGAAAUAACAUUAUUGAUAAAAAAAAGGAAGAACAGUCCAAAAAUAAGAUUAGCAUAAGAUAAAGAUGCCCUAACCAUAGAAUGAGCUACUUUAUUGACUAAUCUUCAAAACCAUUUUUAGUUUCGAGUUAAGUGAUUUUAUAUAAUUUUUUAGGUUUUAGUUGCUUUUAUAAUAAUUAUCUAUUAAUA